Molecule: microRNA, 22 nt
Filed under: Branchiostoma floridae (Florida lancelet)
Lineage: Eukaryota; Metazoa; Chordata; Leptocardii; Amphioxiformes; Branchiostomatidae
Also listed under: 2 other names
Description: bfl-miR-2072-5p
Source: miRBase by way of RNAcentral
UGCAACAUCACAGUGACCACAU